This is a long non-coding RNA of Brassica oleracea var. oleracea, 181 nucleotides long. RefSeq lists it as uncharacterized. Lineage: Eukaryota; Viridiplantae; Streptophyta; Magnoliopsida; Brassicales; Brassicaceae. The transcript has 3 exons. The record is from RefSeq and is a predicted model, not a curated record.
AGUAUGAGAAGUUGUAUCAGCCUAUUUAUGCAAAGCGUUAUAAUAUUGUGAAUGAACUACUGAAAUCGAGCUGACUCAAGAGGAUACGAAGAUGGACGAAGGGGAGGACAAAACUGCUCAAGAGAGAGGAGUUCUAAGUUUCUGGCUGACUGCUUUGCAAAAUAAUGAUGUUACUUCCCAC